This 898-nucleotide long non-coding RNA is filed under the name Homo sapiens (human). Its description in RNAcentral is "HSALNT0123935". Lineage: Eukaryota; Metazoa; Chordata; Mammalia; Primates; Hominidae. The record is from RNAcentral.
GGGUAAGUAAGUGUCCUGCAGAGACUUCUUCAAAAAGAUGAACCUGAUAGCAAAUCCAAUGCAUCUGAAAGUCUGCGAGGCAAUAUAUUUGAGAUGGCAGAGAGUUUGAGAGUUGUUAGCGAAAUAACACAGAAAUCUAGAUGAAGAAAAUAAUAAAAAUUAACCAAAGGUGGCACUGGAAACAAAUAGCAAUUGCAGGAGAUGGCAUGGCUUGGCCAUGAACAGUGUUCACGUGGUUAUAAUAAUGCAAAAAAAAAUCAUCUAAAUAAAAAUCUGGUAUGUGUAUGUUAGGAGGGUGGGGGAAUGGGAAAGGAUGUUCCAGGAGAAGGUAGAAGCAAGCUCAAGCCUCAUCUUCCAUGGUACACAGUAAAGAGAUAAUAAGCAGCCAGGCAUGAGCCACCGCACCCGGCCUAUAUUCUAAAUUCUUAAGGUACUUCAACUUCUCUUGGCAUUCAGUCUAAACAAUGAGUGCACUGAAAAGCCUACUAUCUGUUAAUUAUUUCUCUACUCAAGUACAGCACAAGAGGCCUUAGGCAAACGAGGGGAGCCGAAAGCUUUUUAUGCAGACCUCUAAAGUCAGUGUACUCUGCCUUUGAUUUCUUUGAUUUUAUUUACAAGCUUCCAUCCCUUCUCAGAAAAUAAUAACCAAAAAAAUAAAACUGGCACAGUGAAGUACAUUCUCCUCCCAUUACAUGAACUAGUUCCUAACAGUUACAGGCAAGAGGUUGCAGAUGAAGAACUGACUUCCCAUCGGUUUCCCUUGUAACUUCUCCAGAGACUCAUCUAUACGGGAAAUCCAGUCAUCUCAAACUCAAAAUGUCACAAAGAAAAAACUUGUAUCAUUCGGCUGGCCCCCAGCCACUGUCUCAAACCAGGUUCUGCUGAAAGUUGUUCCAGC